CGGGACGGGUGAGUAAUGUCUGGGAAACUGCCUGAUGGAGGGGGAUAACUACUGGAAACGGUAGCUAAUACCGCAUAACGUCGCAAGACCAAAGAGGGGACCUUGGGCCUCUUGCCAUCGGAUGUGCCCAGAUGGGAUUAGCUAGUAGGUGGGGUAACGGCUCACCUAGGCGACGAUCCCUAGCUGGUCUGAGAGGAUGACCAGCCACACUGGAACUGAGACACGGUCCAG
RNAcentral lists this ribosomal RNA (231 nucleotides) under uncultured bacterium. Its description in RNAcentral is "partial 16S ribosomal RNA". It matches the Rfam family "Bacterial small subunit ribosomal RNA", at positions 100 to 334 of the family's 1533-position model. The record is from RNAcentral.